Molecule: non-coding RNA, 884 nt
Filed under: Macroramphosus sagifue
Lineage: Eukaryota; Metazoa; Chordata; Actinopteri; Syngnathiformes; Centriscidae
Description: partial 12S ribosomal RNA
Rfam family: Bacterial small subunit ribosomal RNA
Source: RNAcentral
ACCCCUGUGAGGAUGCCCUACAGUUCUCCCGCGAGAACAAGGAGCUGGUAUCAGGCACACCCAUUCAGCCUACGACACCUUGCUUAGCCACACCCCCAAGGGAACUCAGCAGUGAUAGACAUUAAGCUAUAAGUGAAAACUCGACUUAGUUAAAGCUAAGAGGGCCGGUAAAACUCGUGCCAGCCACCGCGGUUAUACGAGAGGCCCAAGUUGACAGAUACCGGCGUAAAGAGUGGUUAAGAUUCCUUAUUCAACUAAAGCCGAACGCCUCCAGAACUGUUAUACGCCCCCGGAGGUAAGAAGUUCCACCACGAAAGUGGCUUUAUUUAACCUGAACCCACGAAAGCUAUGUCACAAACUGGGAUUAGAUACCCCACUAUGCUUAGCCGUAAACAUUGAUACAACCCUACCCCACCAUCCGCCCGGGAACUACGAGCAUCAGCUUGAAACCCAAAGGACUUGGCGGUGCUUUAGACCCACCUAGAGGAGCCUGUUCUAGAACCGAUAACCCCCGUUCAACCUCACCCUCCCUUGUUUCUCCCGCCUAUAUACCGCCGUCGUCAGCUUACCCUGUGAAGGUUUAAUAGUAAGCAAAAUUGGCAGAGCCCAAAACGUCAGGUCGAGGUGUAGCGUAUGAGAGGGGAAGAAAUGGGCUACAUUCAUUAAUUUAAUGAACCACGGAAGACGUACUGAAAACGUAUGUCUGAAGGAGGAUUUAGCAGUAAGUGGAGAAUAGAGUGCCCCACUGAAACUGGCCCUGAAGCGCGCACACACCGCCCGUCACUCUCCCCAGACUACUAACUUUGAUAACUAAUACCUUAAGAUCUCUAAGGGGAGGCAAGUCGUAACAUGGUAAGUGUACCGGAAGGUGCACUUGGAAAAAU